This 469-nucleotide ribosomal RNA is filed under the name uncultured bacterium. RNAcentral describes it as "SSU rRNA". It matches the Rfam family "Bacterial small subunit ribosomal RNA", at positions 26 to 518 of the family's 1533-position model. The record is from RNAcentral.
AGGAUAAACGCUGGCGGCGUGCCUAACACAUGCAAGUCGAACGUCUCUUCUUUCGGGAAGAGGAGUGGCGGACGGGUGAGGAACACGUGGGAACCUGCCCUUCAGUGAGGAAUACCGGCGAGAAAUCGCCGACAAGACCGCAUAGCCCUCUCUGGUGAGAGCCAGAGAAGGAAAGCUUCGCAAGAGGCGCUGGAGGAGGGGCCUGCGUCCGAUUAGCUAGUUGGUGGGGUAAGAGCCUACCAAGGCGUCGAUCGGUAGCUGGUCUGAGAGGACGAUCAGCCACACUGGGAUUGAGAACGGCCCAGACUCCUACGGGGGCAGCAGUGAGGAAUUUUCGGCAAUGGGGGAAACCCUGACCGAGCAACGCCGCGUGCAGGAAGACGGCCUCGGUUGUAAACUGCUUUUCUUUGGGUACGAGCAAGGACGGUACCAGAGGAAUCAGCCCGGCUCACUACGUGCCAGCAGCCGC